UCCGGUUUGUCACCGGCAGUCUCCCUAGAGUGCCCUUGCGUAGCAACUAGGGACAAGGGUUGCGCUCGUUGCGGGACUUAACCCAACAUCUCACGACACGAGCUGACGACAGCCAUGCACCACCUGUGCACCGGCCCCGAAGGGCUGCCGUAUUUCUACGACAUUCCAGUGCAUGUCAAGCCUAGGUAAGGUUCUUCGCGUUGCGUCGAAUUGAACCACAUGCUCCGCUGCUUGUGCGGGUCCCCGUCAAUUCCUUUGAGUUUUAACCUUGCGGCCGUACUCCCCGGGCGGCUCACUUCACGCGUUAGCUACGGCACAGAUCACGUUGGUUGUGACCCACACCUAGUGCCCAACGUUUACGGCGUGGACUAC
RNAcentral lists this unclassified non-coding RNA (372 nucleotides) under uncultured bacterium. Its description in RNAcentral is "contains 16S-23S intergenic spacer region". The record is from RNAcentral.